RNAcentral lists this long non-coding RNA (4655 nucleotides) under Mytilus galloprovincialis (Mediterranean mussel). Lineage: Eukaryota; Metazoa; Mollusca; Bivalvia; Mytilida; Mytilidae. The record is from RNAcentral.
UUUGCAUGAUAAAUACAAAACUUUUUAAUUCUAUAAACAGAAGAAUAUGUUAAUAAUGAGCAAUAUAAAACAAUCAACACACAUGAUAACAAAGCUUUUAUAUAUAUACAACAGUCACACUAUGGCAUGUAUAACAAAAUACAAUGUAUUUUUUUUUUCUACUUCCUAGUAGGCCUUACAUUAGAUAUUAUUGAAUCAGGGUCUUAAGCUGGGUUUUUUUCAGACGUAAACUAUAACUACUAUUUGAUUUGAUUUUUUACAUGUUGGAUGUGGUAGGUAGUUCAAGCUAAGGCAACACUUUACUCUACUAUAAAUGUUGGUACCAGAUCAGUUUAUUUCUUUUAAAAUAUUACCCCAGCCUCAAAACUAGGAAAUAUGAUGACAUGGAAACUAUGUUCUAUCCUUGACCUAUAUUUCUUACCUACUGGUACACAUAAACUAUGUUGCAUGUCUAACAUUUUGCUAUCAUACAUCAUACAAUAAUCACAGAAUUUCUUCCAAAUAAAUUCAUGCUUCUUUUAAUUGACAUGGGCAGAAAUUGUGUUGCAGUAUUAGUAAGAACAAUAAAUGUAAAAUAAAAAGCCAUAUUUAAUUGAAAAAAAAAAAUGCUUUCACUAAUUAAUUCUUUAAUAUUGGUUACAAUUUGAUUUGAUUUUAGAAGUUUUAACACCACUUUUAAGCACCGCAUUUAGGCUAUUUCGUGGAGGCCAGUUUUUAUUGGUGGAGGAAGCCACAGUGCAGGAGAAAACCACGACCUUCGAUAGGAAAACUGACAAUCUAAGUCAAUUAAGAUUGGAGUUGAGUGCAGCUGCACGAGACGGGUUCGAACUCACAACCUCAGUUUUGACUGGCUAGUGAUUUCAGUAGUAACUACUUAGACCACUCGGCCACAAAGGCCCCAAUAUUGGUUACAAAGUUUAAUUAUAUUUUAGAAUGGUAGUACUUAAUAUUAUGAACAAAAUAAUGAAGGUAAAAUACAAGUUUUUCAUAAUUACAAACAAUAUUUCCUCAUACACCAAAAUUUAGUACUACAGAGAAUAUUAUGCUUUUCAAAAAUAAACAACAGAUCUAUAAAUAAGUAGCAGUAAAUAAAUUACUGUGAUAUUGAGAAUCAGGAUAGUUAUAAAGCAGUAAAAAUUCCCAAAUUAUAAUUGUUGAUUAAGUAAAAUAUUUUUAGAGGUCAUGCACCACCUAAAUGCUAUAAAAUACUCUAUAUAUUAAAAUAAUAUCUUUUUGGAAUGUGAUGACAAGCUAUAAUUAUACUAUACAUUUGUAUUCUGUAGAAAUUUGUACACCAAAUAUUUACAUGUUUUAUUUUCCUAAAUAUUCAUUUUGUAGGAAUUCUAUAAAUCAUACACAUUGUAGCAGAAAAAAAAAAUUUGAUAAUUCUUCCUUUUAAAUCCAGUUUUCAAAUCUGAAUUAAAAGCAGUUCUUUCGAGAAAAAAAAAUAUACAGUUUAAGUCUCAAAUUCAGGUUUGAUGUUAAAAGAAUAAAUUUUCUACUUUAUCAAAGUAUUUUAAUCAUUUAGACUGAAGUUAUGUUUCUUUCUAAUUAUUGUGUGGAUUUCUUGAAGAACUUAAAAAAAUAUGACAUAGAAUUCCACAAUAGCACUCAUAACUCUUAUGCUUAAUGUGUAUAAGGCACGAAAAUAAAAAAGUCAACAUUAAAGUCAUAAGAAACCUGAAAUUAAAAAAAAAUAUGCAUAUGUUUUUUUAUAACUAAUUGGAUAGUUUUCAUUAUACAACUUAUGUACAUAUACUUUUUUCUGAAGAAAGUUCUGUAAUUUGUCCACAUUUAGAAGAAGUUUACCUAUUUUUAAUUGCUUGCUUCCAGGAAGCAAUUCGCCAACAUAUUUUCCGUAUGCAUAGUGACCUGAGCGUAACCCUCCUUGUAAAAAUCCGUUGAUCACAAUACGCAUGAAUCUGUCAUUAAAAUAAACAAUUAUCAUAUUGUACAUGUUAAACACGUGCCCAAUACCCAUGCUUUUUGUUAUUUGUUUACUAUAAGGUGACAAUCAGUAAACUUCAGCUUCAAAAUAGGCAUUUAAUGAGCAGCCAUAUUUGUUAAAUCAUAACAGACAGAGAGAAAAAAGAUUGACGAUUAUACGAUAUAUUUGCGUAAAAAUGAUAAAAUCGUGCACAGAGGACUAAGUUUAUGAUAUAUACAUGCAUUGGUUCAAGAAUUGGAUAAACAUUAUUUUUCACAACUCACUGGUUUCUUAUGACUUUAAUAACAAAUAAAUACAAAAGCUAAAUCAUCUUUUCUUGAUUUCACCACUAACAAUACUAUGCAAUUAAAAACUUUCUUAUCAAUGAAUUCCCUCUAAACUACAAUCGAACUUUGAACCUACCAUAUCUAAAGGUCAAAAUGCAGGAAUUUAAAUGAUCGUUUUUUUCAAAUGUUCAAUGCAUAAAACUGAGGAUUGAUUGGUGUUAACUUAACCUCCUGUGGCAAAUAUUUCAUAGGACAGACAUUUUCUUUUAUCUUAUUGAUGCCAGUAACAAGAGUGUAAUUGCUACUAAGUCAUGUAAGUUGACAGAGAUAAAUUCCCUACAAUUAUUAAUUGUGAAUUAUAAAUAUGCUUUAGUUCCACUGUAACUGUACAAUGAAUGGAUUUCAAAGGUUUUCAACAAAAUUGACAAUAAAAUAACUAUGCAUUUCAUAUCUAUCCUAACACAAUGAUUUGUCCUAUUAUCAUGAUUACAGAAGCUGUAAGGUAUAAAUGUCUUUUAGACAGCAACCUUAAAACACAAACAAUUAAACAAACAAAAAAACUUGGAGGUCAACAAACAACCUUCAAAAACAGACAUGUAUCUUGACUUUUGCUUAAAACUCUAAAUUGCUUUUUGUUGCUUUUGUCUGGAUAGCUUUAAAUAAGUUUUUAUAAUAUAAACUUUUUCAAACUUUUGAAAGAACUAUAUAAGCUAGUCAACAAAUACACAGAAUCUUAAACAUUAUUAACAAGCUUACCCCUUGCAGUAUAAAAUAAUCUGCAUAUAAUUAUAAGCUGAGGUAAAAAAAAAAUCACAAUGAAAUGGAAAUGUUAACAUUCAGCCAUAAAACAAACUUUUCAAACUAGCAUGUCAACAAAUAGAUUACAUUAAAUAUUACAUGCCUAUUUAUGUAGACAAAUUAUGCUUUUCAAUAUCCUCUAAAAUUUCAUGAACAGACUGUUGUUGUUACAGUAAACAGUCAAAAGUCAAAAUAUAACAAGGAUUUAAUAUGUAUACAAUUGUUUCAAAUUGUUUUACAAUGGUUUGCUUAGUACACAGGAACAGUUGUAAUGUAUAAUAAGUUGUCUUUCCAUUACAAAAGAACAAUCGAGUUUUUGAUUCACAUUUGUUCACAUGUUAGAUACAUAAUAAAUAAUGACCUUAUUUAUACAGGAAUACAUUUAAACUUUACAUUUCUAAGAUAUGACUAUGUAAUAAAUAUAAGUACAUGUUGAAUCGUCCUAAUCUACGUGUCGAACUACUGAGGAACCUCAGGGUUGAAGCCAUAACAGAUCUUACUCUGCCACCCCUCAGAAAAUUGGAAAUUGUUCCAUGUAUUGGUGAAUUUGAAAUCAUAAAUUUGAUAGUGGUUUAAACCUGGGACUAAUACAUUUAAUUUAUCUGUUAGUCACAGUUUAACCUUUUUGCAUUAAACUUUUGAAAAGUAUAAUAAUUAGAAACACACUAUUUUGUUCCAAUGAGGCAAGUGCAAUGGAGCUUGAAACAAAAGAAUAAACAAACCCUGAGCUUGUGAGAAUGAUCUAUGUAAAUUCAUAAGCAUGAGCAUGUACAUGUACAGUAACUGUCCAAUACAAUAUUCCACCCUCUUACAUUAAUUUGGUGGUGUCAUCCUUUGAGAGUGUGGCAAAUAUGGAAAUCCCUAAUUCUUAUGCAAAAGGAAUGUAAAUUCUGUUAAACCAAAACUGGUUGUUAAUUAGUAGUAAACAUGUGAAAUUGAUAAUUUAUCUUUCAUGUCAGUUAUUAGUGAUACACCAUGGCAUUAUUUAACUCAAUUACAAAUGUAUGAAUCAGAUGAGGUUUCUGUCAGUGUGCAUUUAUCAUGAAUUUAUUAAUGUUACCCUUGGUUAAAAAAGUAUACAUUUUAUUCAGCACAAAAAUAGCCAAAACUGUGAGUACAUCAAGCAUUUUUAAAUGUUUUUAAAAGUUUAAAAUCAGUAAAUCUUGUACAAGAAGAGGUCAACAAGAAAACCUCUGACAAAUAUUUUUUAUAACAAAAAGUUCUGGAUUUGUAGAUGCACAAAAGGCAGCCAUUUUGAAAACCCUCAAUGUAACUUGGUAUGAAUUUCCUUUCAGCAAAACCUUAUCAGAGCACUCUACAGUAGAUCUUUACUAAAGAUUUUUAACCAGUAUAUUAACAUAGGUUAUAUAGAUAAAUAUCCAAACUAAUUAUACUACUAUCAGGAAUAUAAGAGCAGCUUUCAGACAUUUCAAAACUUGUUAAACUAUUUUAAAACACAAAUUCACCAUUCUACAUUUUUGAAAGAGCAGACUUCUGCUGUUAUACACAGACGAUCUAUAUUCUCUGAGGAUCUGUGGAAGGUUCCUGAGGAGGUUUUGAUCUGACCUUGAACCAAGGGGUCUCCUUGUACAGGAACCAUAAGUUGCCUGCCCACACCAUCAUAUUCAGAAAACCAAAAAUCU